RNAcentral lists this ribosomal RNA (253 nucleotides) under uncultured bacterium. Its description in RNAcentral is "partial 16S ribosomal RNA". It matches the Rfam family "Bacterial small subunit ribosomal RNA", at positions 524 to 776 of the family's 1533-position model. The record is from RNAcentral.
UACGAAGGACCCAAGCGUUAUCCGGAUUUAUUGGGUUUAAAGGGUGCGUAGGCGGUUUAUUAAGUCAGUGGUGAAAGCCUACAGCUUAACUGUAGAAUGGCCAUUGAUGCUGAUGAUCUUGAGUAUGAUUGAGGUGGGCGGAAUGUGUCAUGUAGCGGUGAAAUGCUUAGAUAUGUCACAGAACACCGAUUGCGAAGGCAGCUCACUAAGCCAUAACUGACGCUGAUGCACGAAAGCGUGGGGAGCAAACAGG